CUACGUGCCAGCAGCCGCGGUAAUACGGAAGGUCCGGGCGUUAUCCGGAUUUAUUGGGUUUAAAGGGAGCGUAGGCCGGAGAUUAAGUGUGUUGUGAAAUGUAGACGCUCAACGUCUGACUUGCAGCGCAUACUGGUUUCCUUGAGUACGCACAACGUUGGCGGAAUUCGUCGUGUAGCGGUGAAAUGCUUAGAUAUCAUGACGAACUCCGAUUGCGAAGGCAGCGUACGGGAGUGUUACUGACGCUUAAGCUCGAAGGUGCGGGUAUCGAACAGGAUUAGAUACCCUGGUAGUCCGCACGGUAAACGAUGGAUGCCCGCUGUUGGUACUUGGUAUCAGCGGCUAAGCGAAAGCAUUAAGCAUCCCACCUGGGGAGUACGCCGGCAACGGUGAAACUCAAAGGAAUUGACGGGGGCCCGCACAAGCGGAGGAACAUGUGGUUUAAUUCGAUGAUACGCGAGGAACCUUACCCGGGCUUGAA
This 481-nucleotide ribosomal RNA is filed under the name uncultured bacterium. RNAcentral's name for it is "bacterial SSU rRNA". It matches the Rfam family "Bacterial small subunit ribosomal RNA", at positions 501 to 985 of the family's 1533-position model. The record is from RNAcentral.